This is a non-coding RNA of Podarcis lilfordi (Lilford's wall lizard), 76 nucleotides long. NCBI's taxonomy places the organism in Eukaryota, Metazoa, Chordata, Lepidosauria, Squamata, Lacertidae. The record is from the annotation of a GenBank genome assembly.
UGGGAUAGCUCAGUCAGUAGAGCAUGAGACUCUUAAUCUCCGGUUCAUGGGUUCAAGCCCCACGUUGUGUGAAAAA